GACGAACGCUGGCGGCGUGCUUAACACAUGCAAGUCGAACGGUAAGGCUCCAGCUUGCUGGGGUACACGAGUGGCGAACGGGUGAGUAACACGUGGGUGACCUGCCCUGCACUUCGGGAUAAGCCUGGGAAACUGGGUCUAAUACCGGAUAGGACCGCACCGUGAGGGUGUGGGGGAAAGUUUUUUCGGUGUGGGAUGGGCCCGCGGCCUAUCAGCUUGUUGGUGGGGUAAUGGCCUACCAAGGCGGCGACGGGUAGCCGGCCUGAGAGGGUGGACGGCCACAUUGGGACUGAGACACGGCCCAGACUCCUACGGGAGGCAGCAGUGGGGAAUAUUGCACAAUGGGCGGAAGCCUGAUGCAGCGACGCCGCGUGGGGGAUGACGGCCUUCGGGUUGUAAACUCCUUUCACCAUCGACGAAGGGUUUCUGACGGUAGAUGGAGAAGAAGCACCGGCUAACUACGUG
Molecule: ribosomal RNA, 465 nt
Filed under: uncultured bacterium
Lineage: Bacteria
Description: partial 16S ribosomal RNA
Rfam family: Bacterial small subunit ribosomal RNA
Source: RNAcentral